This 420-nucleotide ribosomal RNA is filed under the name uncultured bacterium. Its description in RNAcentral is "bacterial SSU rRNA". It matches the Rfam family "Bacterial small subunit ribosomal RNA", at positions 356 to 773 of the family's 1533-position model. The record is from RNAcentral.
GAGGAAUAUUGGUCAAUGGGCGAGAGCCUGAACCAGCCAUCCCGCGUGCAGGAUGACAGCCCUAUGGGUUGUAAACUGCUUUUCCACGCCAAGAAACGGCUCUACGUGUAGGGCACUGACGGUAGCGUGGGAAUAAGCAUCGGCUAACUCCGUGCCAGCAGCCGCGGUAAUACGGAGGAUGCAAGCGUUAUCCGGAUUCAUUGGGUUUAAAGGGUGCGCAGGCGGGCUUUUAAGUCAGUGGUGAAAAGCUGCCGCUUAACGGUAGUCUUGCCUUUGAUACUGAGAGUCUUGAGUUUGGAUGAGGUAGGCGGAAUGUGCAGUGUAGCGGUGAAAUGCAUAGAGAUUGCACAGAACACCGAUUGCGAAGGCAGCUUACUAAUCCACGACUGACGCUGAGGCACGAAAGCGUGGGGAUCAAAC